ACAUCCAGCGAACUUGGCAGAGAUGCCUUGGUGCCUUCGGGAACGCUGAGACAGGUGCUGCAUGGCUGUCGUCAGCUCGUGUUGUGAAAUGUUGGGUUAAGUCCCGNAACGAGCACAACCCUUAUCCUUUGUUGCCAGCGAUUCGGUCGGGAACUCAAAGGAGACUGCCGGUGAUAAACCGGAGGAAGGUGGGGAUGACGUCAAGUCAUCAUGGCCCUUACGAGUAGGGCUACACACGUGCUACAAUGGCGCAUACAAAGAGAAGCGACCUCGCGAGAGCAAGCGGACCUCAUAAAGUGCGUCGUAGUCCGGAUCGGAGUCUGCAACUCGACUCCGUGAAGUCGGAAUCGCUAGUAAUCGUGGAUCAGAAUGCCACGGUGAAUACGUUCCCGGGCCUUGUACACACCGCCCGUCACACCAUGGGAGUGGGUUGCAAAAGAAGUAGGUAGCUUAACCUUCGGGAGGGCGCUUACCACUUUGUGAUUCAUGACUGGGGUGAAGUCGUAACAAGGUAGGCGUAGCGAG
This 525-nucleotide ribosomal RNA is filed under the name uncultured bacterium. RNAcentral's name for it is "bacterial SSU rRNA". It matches the Rfam family "Bacterial small subunit ribosomal RNA", at positions 984 to 1509 of the family's 1533-position model. The record is from RNAcentral.